GACGAACGCUGGCGGCGUGCUUAACACAUGCAAGUCGAACGAGGUACAGGGAGCUUGCUCUCUGAACCGAGUGGCGAACGGGUGAGUAACACGUGACCAACCUGUCCUAGGGUGAGGGACAACCUGGGGAAACCCGGGCUAAUACCGCAUGAUGUCUCGAGGUCGCAUGGCCUCGAGAUCAAAGAGGGCCUCUGCUUGCAAGCUCUCGCCCAGGGGAGGGGUCGGCGGCGUAU
This 233-nucleotide ribosomal RNA is filed under the name uncultured bacterium. RNAcentral describes it as "partial 16S ribosomal RNA". It matches the Rfam family "Bacterial small subunit ribosomal RNA", at positions 28 to 241 of the family's 1533-position model. The record is from RNAcentral.